AAUGAUUAGAGGUUCGGGGGUUGAAAUGACCUUCACCUAUUCUCAAACUUUAAAUCGGUAAGAUGGGCCCGUUACUUCAGUGAACAGGCUCUUGAAUGCAGCGCUCUUAGUGGGCCAUUUUUGGUAAGCAGAACUGGCAACGAGGGGUCAACCUAAGGAGAGGUUGAGGCGACAAAUUGACUGCUCAUAGAUGGAAAGGUGUUGGUUCAUUUAGACAGUAGGACGGUGGCCAUGGAAGUCGGAAUCCGCUAAGGAGUGUGUAACAACUCACCUACCGAAUGGACUAGCCCUGAAAAUGGAUGUCGCUAAGCAGUUAGCCGAUACCUCUCCGUCUGGCUCUAGGUAACCAGGCGAGUAGGAGGGCGUGAGGAUAGCGUGGAAGUGUGAAUGUGAAUUCACAUGGAGCUGUUCUUAGUGCAGAUCUUGGUGAUAGUAGCAGCUAUUCAAGAAAGACCCUUGAAGACUGAAGUGGAGAAGGGUUUCAUGAGAACAACACUUGGUCAUGAGUGACUCGGUCCUAAGGUGAUUAUAGCCGAAAGGGAAAAAGGUUAAAAUUCCUUUAGCUAGCAGUGGGUCUUGUGUGGUAACACAACUGAGCUCAGAGACGUCGGAGUGGAACCCCAGGGAGAGUUCUCUUUUCUUCUUAACAAGUCGCCGCCCUGGAGGUCGUUGUGACGAGAGAGGGCCAUAGACUUGGCAGAGCAGUGCACCCUUUGCGCUGUCUGGUGCGUUUCCUUCGACCCUUGAAAAUCUGAGGGAACUUUGAUCGCUUGCUAGGCCGUACCCACAACCGCAUCAGGUCUCCAAGGU
Molecule: ribosomal RNA, 810 nt
Filed under: Karlodinium veneficum
Lineage: Eukaryota; Dinophyceae; Gymnodiniales; Kareniaceae
Description: partial Eukaryotic large subunit ribosomal RNA
Rfam family: Eukaryotic large subunit ribosomal RNA
Source: RNAcentral